This 253-nucleotide ribosomal RNA is filed under the name uncultured bacterium. RNAcentral describes it as "partial 16S ribosomal RNA". It matches the Rfam family "Bacterial small subunit ribosomal RNA", at positions 524 to 776 of the family's 1533-position model. The record is from RNAcentral.
GACGGAGGGUGCUAGCGUUGUUCGGAAUUACUGGGCGUAAAGGGCGCGUAGGCGGCCUGGUCAGUCGGAUGUGAAAGCCCGGGGCUCAACCCCGGAACGGCAUCCGAGACGGCCAGGCUGGAGACCGGGAGAGGAGAGUGGAAUAGCCAGUGUAGAGGUGAAAUUCGUAGAUAUUGGCUGGAACACCGGUGGCGAAAGCGGCUCUCUGGCCCGGUUCUGACGCUGAGGCGCGAAAGCGUGGGGAGCAAACAGG